UACACAAGGUCAGCUACAGUUUACCCAAUU
RNAcentral lists this non-coding RNA (30 nucleotides) under Homo sapiens (human). The record is from RNAcentral. Lineage: Eukaryota; Metazoa; Chordata; Mammalia; Primates; Hominidae.